RNAcentral lists this ribosomal RNA (508 nucleotides) under uncultured bacterium. RNAcentral describes it as "partial 16S ribosomal RNA". It matches the Rfam family "Bacterial small subunit ribosomal RNA", at positions 28 to 523 of the family's 1533-position model. The record is from RNAcentral.
GAUGAACGCUAGCUACAGGCUUAACACAUGCAAGUCGAGGGGAAACGAUAGAGAAAGCUUGCUUUUUCUAGGCGUCGACCGGCGCACGGGUGAGUAACGCGUAUCCAACCUGCCCAUCACUUGGGGAUAACCUUGCGAAAGUAAGACUAAUACUCAAUGACGUCUCUAGAAGACAUCUGAAAGAGAUUAAAGAUUUAUCGGUGAUGGAUGGGGAUGCGUCUGAUUAGCUUGUUGGCGGGGUAACGGCCCACCAAGGCGACGAUCAGUAGGGGUUCUGAGAGGAAGGUCCCCCACAUUGGAACUGAGACACGGUCCAAACUCCUACGGGAGGCAGCAGUGAGGAAUAUUGGUCAAUAGGCGAGAGCCUGAACCAGCCAAGUAGCGUGCAGGAUGACGGCCCUAUGGGUUGUAAACUGCUUUUAUAAGGGAAUAAAGUGAGUCUCGUGAGACUUUUUGCAUGUACCUUAUGAAUAAGGACCGGCUAAUUCCGUGCCAGCCGCCGCGGUAA